RNAcentral lists this ribosomal RNA (134 nucleotides) under uncultured bacterium. RNAcentral's name for it is "partial 16S ribosomal RNA". It matches the Rfam family "Bacterial small subunit ribosomal RNA", at positions 356 to 504 of the family's 1533-position model. The record is from RNAcentral.
GGGGAAUAUUGGGCAAUGGGCGCAAGCCUGACCCAGCAACGCCGCGUGAAGGAAGAAGGCUUUCGGGUUGUAAACUUCUUUUGUCAGGGACGAAGCAAGUGACGGUACCUGACGAAUAAGCCACGGCUAACUAC